RNAcentral lists this ribosomal RNA (395 nucleotides) under uncultured bacterium. Its description in RNAcentral is "bacterial SSU rRNA". It matches the Rfam family "Bacterial small subunit ribosomal RNA", at positions 30 to 418 of the family's 1533-position model. The record is from RNAcentral.
AGUGAACGCUGGCGGCAGGCCUAAUACAUGCAAGUCGAACGGCAGCACAGCAGAGCUUGCUCUGUGGGUGGCGAGUGGCGGACGGGUGAGGAAUACAGUGGGAAUCUGCCCAGUCGUGGGGGAUAACGUAUGGAAACGUACGCUAAUACCGCAUGGCGCCCUACGGGGGAAAGCCGGGGACCGCAAGGCCUGGCGCGAUUGGAUGAGCCCAUGUUCGAUUAGCUAGUUGGCGGGUAAAGGCCCACCAAGGCGACGAUCGAUAGCUGGUCUGAGAGGAUGAUCAGCCACACUGGAGCUGAGACACGGUCCAGACUCCUACGGGAGGCAGCAGUAGGGAAUAUUGGACAAUGGGGGCAACCCUGAUCCAGCCAUGCCGCGUGAGUGAAGAAGGCCCU